This 517-nucleotide ribosomal RNA is filed under the name uncultured bacterium. RNAcentral's name for it is "bacterial SSU rRNA". It matches the Rfam family "Bacterial small subunit ribosomal RNA", at positions 23 to 518 of the family's 1533-position model. The record is from RNAcentral.
CUUAGAACGAACGCUGGCGGCGUGCUUAACACAUGCAAGUCGAACGCGAAAGGGACUUCGGUCCUGAGUAAAGUGGCGCACGGGUGAGUAACGCGUAGAUAACCUGUCUUCAUGUCUGGAAUAAUACGCCGAAAGGGGUACUAAUACCGGAUAUUCUUGCUUUUCAUAAGUUAUGCAAGCAAAGGUGGCCUCUGCAUAUGCUACUGCAUGAAGAGGGGUCUGCGUACCAUUAGCUAGUAGGUGGGGUAAUGGCCUACCUAGGCGACGAUGGUUAGCGGGUCUGAGAGGAUGAUCCGCCACACUGGCACUGGAACACGGGCCAGACUCCUACGGGAGGCAGCAGUGAGGAAUAUUGCGCAAUGGGGGAAACCCUGACGCAGCGACGCCGCGUGAGUGAGGAAAAGGCCUUCGGGUCGUAAAGCUCUGUCAAGAGGAAAGAAGUGUACAAUGGCUAAUACCUGUUGUAUUUGACGGUACCUCUAAAGGAAGCACCGGCUAACUCCGUGCCAGCAGCUGC